GAAUAUUGGACAAUGGGCGCAAGCCUGAUCCAGCCAUACCGCGUGGGUGAAGAAGGCCUUCGGGUUGUAAAGCCCUUUUGUUGGGAAAGAAAAGCAGUCGGCUAAUACCCGGUUGUUCUGACGGUACCCAAAGAAUAAGCACCGGCCAACUUCGUGCCCGCAGCCGCGGUAAUGCGAAGGGUGCAAGCGUUACUCGGAAUUACUGGGCGUAAAGCGUGCGUAGGUGGUUGUUUAAGUCUGUUGUGAAAGCCCUGGGCUCAACCUGGGAAUUGCAGUGGAUACUGGGCGACUAGAGUGUGGUAGAGGGUAGUGGAAUUCCCGGUGUAGCAGUGAAAUGCGUAGAGAUCGGGAGGAACAUCCAUGGCGAAGGCAGCUACCUGGACCAACACUGACACUGAGGCACGAAAGCGUGGGGAGCAAACAGGA
Molecule: ribosomal RNA, 426 nt
Filed under: uncultured bacterium
Lineage: Bacteria
Description: bacterial SSU rRNA
Rfam family: Bacterial small subunit ribosomal RNA
Source: RNAcentral